GUCCCUGGGGUGCGAGGGGCGGAGGUGGGCUUCCGCCGCUCUCCCAUGAGCCCGGGCUGCAGCCGGCCCCCUACGCCGCCGCCCUCCCGGCGCCCCGUGACACUACCAUCGCCAAGCGGGUAGAGCCAAGCUCGCGCCUCGAGAGACUCGGCCAACUGCGCAGCAGCGCCGCGCACCGGAAAUCUCUGAAUAUUGCGUUACUACAUCUAGGUUAUUUUUCUAUCCUAGUUCCAUGUAAAAGGACAGAGGGCCACAACCUGGCAGAAGUUGGCAUCGCUGUCCCAGCUUAGCACAGGUAUGAGUCGGCAUAGCACAGAGCAUGCGCCUACCUGAUGUGGUCCUUUCACGCCUUACCUACCAGCCACCUCCUGGCCAAUAAAACAGCAAAAAGCUUCCAGAGAAAGUUCGCCGAAAUGGAUCAGUGGUUUGAAAGAGGUUCUUCAAAGGUAAAGUAAUGAUGAAAAUGGCAGAACCAUCCUCAGAAGAACAUGGUAAGCAUAAUGAACAAACAGUUCUCAAGUGAAUCUAUGAGAUAUGAAACUGCAUAUUCUAGGAUAGGUUCUUGGGUGGUGAUUUUACACAUGUAGCCAAAAAUGAAAACUGUGAGUGUAAGUUGAGUGAAAAAUAUUUGCAAAUUUCAUUCACUGGACCAGCCGUCCGUUGCUCCUAGUCCUCCAUAUGUUACCAUUAAAAUUAAAACUUUGAUAAAUAGCAGUCUGGAGCCAUAAAAAAGGGCUCCAUUAUCUUCCCCUAAAGUGACCAAUCCAGUUUUUCGAGAACAAAUACAAAAUAAUGCUUUCUAAUGUACAAUUAAUUUUCCUUGUUGCUAAAAGUGCAGGAGACCAAAGCUACAGAGGCAUGGUUCUAAGCUGCUGCUCUCUUUAAAAAAUGCACAUAAAAAUCAGCCACACAAUCACCAAGAAGGCUGUAAACCAGCUGCAAAAAUAGUGAUAAAGACUCUGCUUGCAGAGAGCCAAAGGGACCAUUGACAAAACUCCUUUAUCAGAUAACACUGUUGGACAUUACACAACCUCAAGAAUACACAAAGUAGAAAAGCAAUUAGGACAUACACAUACUAGCGGAUACUUCCCUUUUCAGCAAGCCAAACCUGCCCACGUGUGGGAUAUGAAGCAAGCCCUUGGCAUAUACAGGGUUCAAAUGUGAAGGAAAAAUGCUGCCUGGCUUGUCAUUUUGUUGGUGGUGCCAAAAUAAUGAUAAGAGGCUUCUCAAUUAUAGAUUAUUUACUUUGUGAGUCAUGUGCUAGAAAUGGUAUUUUGGGAUGGGUGCCAGAGUUGAAGCAGCCACGGCUGUCGUAAGCAAGGGUUCUGCUCUGUGAAUAAAAAGAGUUUGCUUUUUUACAUGCUGCCUUAUUCACAGAAAAGAGUUAAUGGUCAACAAAAUGCAUCUGAUUCAGGAUUAAAGGGAGAAAAAACAAAAACAAAAAUCGAAUCCUGGUAAAGGUAAAUGCAUAUCUUUUUAGCAAGCGGUGAGAGAAAAAAAAAGCAGGUAGUAUACAGGUCAGUGUGCGCUCAGUCAGGGACGACAGAAACCUAAAUCCAAAUGGAUUAAACAAUAAAUGGAACUAAUUAUAUCGUUUGUGUUGCCAGAGUGCUGGCUCCAUUUCACUGCAUGUGCCUUGGCUCUGUCCUCCUCCUUGGCGUCUUUUCUGACUGUCCCCCCCCCGCCCCCCACUGUGACAGAAAAUGGUUAUGGCAGCACCAAGUCCCUCACGUUCACCCCAACACUCAGACCAGCAAAGAGUAGCUGUGGUCCCCCAGUUCCCAGAAGUCCUGAGACUCACACUGAUUGGACAGGCUUAGGUCACAUGUCCAUUUCUGAACCAAUCACAGUGUGGCUGGGGGUGGAACCCACUGAUUGCUCCAUCCCCGGCCUAAAGGCAAAAAGCCCGCAAAGAACAGCAGGGAGGGCAGGAGGGCGAUCUUACUAGUAUGAAAUUAUUCUUAACGUUUAAAAUACUGUUUCAUCUUGUAAUUUAAAAUCAUUGAUGACACUCUGCCUUUUUUUUAUGUAAAUUGGUGAUCCGUGGUGUGAAAACUUGGAGGAACAUGCCUUAAGAGGAUGCUUCAAGGACCUAAUACCUAAUGAAUAUGCUUUGCAAUUCUACGUUCUCCUAAAUAGCAAAUGCUUGAAUGACUAUUACAAAUUCAUACC
Molecule: long non-coding RNA, 2172 nt
Organism: Camelus dromedarius (Arabian camel)
Lineage: Eukaryota; Metazoa; Chordata; Mammalia; Artiodactyla; Camelidae
Exons: 3
Source: RefSeq, a predicted model, not a curated record